AACGUCGGAAUCUGCCUAUUUGUGGGGGAUAACGUAGGGAAACUUACGCUAAUACCGCAUACGACCUACGGGUGAAAGUGGGGGACCGCAAGGCCUCACGCAGAUAGAUGAGCCGACGUCGGAUUAGCUAGUUGGCGGGGUAAAGGCCCACCAAGGCGACGAUCCGUAGCUGGUCUGAGAGGAUGAUCAGCCACACUGGAACUGAGACACGGUCCAGACUCCUACGGGAGGCAGCAGUGGGGAAUAUUGGACAAUGGGCGCAAGCCUGAUCCAGCCAUGCCGCGUGUGUGAAGAAGGCCUUCGGGUUGUAAAGCACUUUUGUCCGGAAAGAAAAGCUUAGGGUUAAUAACCUUGAGUCAUGACGGUACCGGAAGAAUAAGCACCGGCUAACUUCGUGCCAGCAGCCGCGGUAAUACGAAGGGUGCAAGCGUUACUCGGAAUUACUGGGCGUAAAGCGUGCGUAGGUGGUUUGUUAAGUCUGAUGUGAAAGCCCUGGGCUCAACCUGGGAAUGGCAUUGGAAACUGGCUUACUAGAGUGCGGUAGAGGGUAGUGGAAUUCCCGGUGUAGCAGUGAAAUGCGUAGAUAUCGGGAGGAACAUCUGUGGCGAAAGGCGACUACCUGGACCAGCACUGACACUGAGGCACGAAAGCGUGGGGGAGCAACAGGAUUAGAUACCCUGGUAGUCCAC
RNAcentral lists this ribosomal RNA (689 nucleotides) under Lysobacter sp. RNAcentral's name for it is "bacterial SSU rRNA". It matches the Rfam family "Bacterial small subunit ribosomal RNA", at positions 114 to 798 of the family's 1533-position model. Lineage: Bacteria; Pseudomonadati; Pseudomonadota; Gammaproteobacteria; Lysobacterales; Lysobacteraceae. The record is from RNAcentral.